CAUGCACUCACAACAAACCAACCUCAGCAACGGCUGGCUGGCAGGCAAUGAGGAGAUGGUCGUCAAAUUUAUCUUCUAGUUGCACAGAGAAUGUGGACCAGAGCGUUCGGCUGUUUAUAAAUUUGUAACAGCACCUUCCUCCAGACAAAUAUUAAAUGUCUUCGCCUACUGUGUUAGAGAUCUCUUUCCAUUUUUAUCUAACAUAAAAAAUGAAUGAAGAGACGGGUAAGACUCGUGAGAAGAGGAAGAGGACGGCAGGAGGAGACAAAGAUCCGUCCACGUCGAAAUGAAAACAACGGGAGAGCACCCCCAACAGAGUAUUAAAGACUCAGGGUGAACUUCCACCAAAAGAGAAGCCAUCUACUUUCAAAAGAGCCUGUCAAGACUCGUGGCUUCAAGAAGGAACCAAACGGGAGGUGGAGCUUACCGGGCUCCGGAGAGGAGUCACGGGAGGGAACACGCAGCUCCCUCCCCUUCCAAACACCGGGAAGAUGACAUGAACACUUUGAAACUCCAGUAUGCAAACUUGGACUUUUCAGGCCUCGUUUUGACUUGUCGCUCCCAAUAGGUUUGCAAUCUUUGAAGAAAUGUCUGAUUCCACUUACGCUUGGAGGGGUUGUUAUCAAAGAGGAGGAUACAAGCACGUUCCCCAAUGGAUUUUAAUGACUGAAUCACCCUCUCUCUGAAAAUGCCCCCGAGCUGCUUCCUUUCGCUUGCAAUUGGCUGACGUUAGAAAGAAACAAAGCAAAACAACGGCACUUGCGUUGGUACACGAAACCUGCCGGAGCACAAAGACAU
Molecule: long non-coding RNA, 798 nt
Organism: Mauremys reevesii (Reeves's turtle)
Lineage: Eukaryota; Metazoa; Chordata; Testudines; Geoemydidae
Exons: 4
Source: RefSeq, a predicted model, not a curated record